Molecule: ribosomal RNA, 661 nt
Filed under: Diutina pseudorugosa
Lineage: Eukaryota; Fungi; Ascomycota; Pichiomycetes; Serinales; Debaryomycetaceae
Description: LSU rRNA
Rfam family: Eukaryotic large subunit ribosomal RNA
Source: RNAcentral
GCAUAUCAAUAAGCGGAGGAAAAGAAACCAACCGGGAUUGCCUCAGUAACGGCGAGUGAAGCGGCAUCAGCUCAAAUUUGAAAGCCCUCGGGCGUUGUAAUUUGCAGGGGAAGUGCUUGGGGCGGGUGCUGUCUACGUUCCUUGGAACAGGACGCCGCAGAGGGUGAGAGCCCCGUGCGAUGGCACCUCUAACCGCAUAAGCCUUCUCCGACGAGUCGAGUUGUUUGGGAAUGCAGCUCAAAGUGGGUGGUAAAUUCCAUCUAAAGCUAAAUACUGGCGAGAGACCGAUAGCGAACAAGUACAGUGAUGGAAAGAUGAAAAGCACUUUGAAAAGAGAGUGAAACAGCACGUGAAAUUGUUGAAAGGGAAGGGUAUGCGAUUAGCGGCCAGCAGGAGGUGGUCUCUCGUGAAAAGGCCGGGCACCGUCCUCGGACACUGUGCGCGGAGAUGGCGAGGGGCCGCCUGAGGUCUGCGACUCUAGGUUGCUGGCGUAAUGAUUGCAUACCACCCGUCUUGAAACACGGACCAAGGAGUCUAACGUCUAUGCGAGUAUGUGGGUGUCAAACCCGCGUGCGGAAUGAAAGUGACACGGUUGGAGCAUUAGCGCACAAUCGACCGAACCUGAAGUUCUCGGAUGGUUUUGAGUAAGAGCAUAGCUGUU